UGGGGAAUAUUGGACAAUGGGCGAAAGCCUGAUCCAGCCAUGCCGCGUGUGUGAAGAAGGUCUUCGGAUUGUAAAGCACUUUAAGUUGGGAGGAAGGGCAGUAAGCUAAUACCUUGCUGUUUUGACGUUACCGACAGAAUAAGCACCGGCUAACUCUGUGCCAGCAGCCGCGGUAAUACAGAGGGUGCAAGCGUUAAUCGGAAUUACUGGGCGUAAAGCGCGCGUAGGUGGUUUGUUAAGUUGGAUGUGAAAGCCCCGGGCUCAACCUGGGAACUGCAUCCAAAACUGGCAAGCUAGAGUACGGAAGAGGGUGGUGGAAUUUCCUGUGUAGCGGUGAAAUGCGUAGAUAUAGGAAGGGACACCAGUGGCGAAGGCGACCACCUGGACUGAUACUGACACUGAGGUGCGAAAGCGUGGGGAGCAAACA
RNAcentral lists this ribosomal RNA (427 nucleotides) under uncultured bacterium. RNAcentral's name for it is "partial 16S ribosomal RNA". It matches the Rfam family "Bacterial small subunit ribosomal RNA", at positions 355 to 774 of the family's 1533-position model. The record is from RNAcentral.